CAUCUCGAGCACCAUUGCCUCUGCCAUCCUCUUGGCUUAGCCAACCACAUCUCUCGGACUUCCAGUUGCCUCGAUGGAAUCCAUGUCCACGGUCCACCUCUUCCAUGGGUGGAUACUACCUCGGGAACUCACGUCCACAUAUUCCUCCAGGUCCUUCUUCACCAAACACACGAUCGAUACCUACUCCUCAUCCACCAAAACACUUGUCACCCGCUACUCACACAAGCGCAAUGACUCGCCUUCUCACGGCACCAUGGUCCCUCAAGCAUGUCCACUACACGCUCCACCUCGAUGUGGCCAGGUGUGUCGACCUCCCUUGACUCCACACAUCUUCCUGUUCCUCUUCGAGCGACGCUGCCUACUCCUCUUAGGCCUUGGCAUAAACAAAUCUUCUCUCACACACCGGACCACCACUUCAUCAUCAUGCUUCGCCUACACACAAGGCUCCAUGGGCAACUCCUUAACACAAAGGCCAGAAAGCAUUGCUGCUUUCACCUCCUCUCUCGCCAUACACCAUAGCAGGCUUGGAGUUCUCGGCCUUUAACUAGCUCUCAGUCUUCUCGACUCAAUGCCCAACCGAUGAGCCUCUUCCAACCAGAGGAAGUUAUGUGAAGCACCUGUGUCCAUCAAAGCACGAAUAUACACCUUUCAUGCUUUAAGUCUAUGAACAAUUGACUCUUUCUCGCUUCUUUGAUGGGUCGGCCUACUCCUCCUUAGUAGUCGCUAAAUGAAGAUCUAAAACUGAUUCAUGGACUCCACCAAUGCAACUCACACCUUCAUCCUCCACAAGAGCAGAGUGCUUGUUUCUCUUCGAGCAAUUCCUGGCUCUAUGUGGACCUUCACACAAGAAGCAUUUGAUGGAUAGAAAAAAUAUCUCCCUUCUCUUUCCUCUUCUUCUCACUCAUGAAGUCAUCCUUGCCUUUAUCAACCUUCAAUCUCUCUUGGCUAAAGAGAUUGUUGUGAACUCCACACCUCUCAAUCUCCAUAUGCACCCAAGACUACAAACCAUUCAUAAAGCAAAUAAAGCUUCUCCAUCAAGAUAGCUAGGGAUUUCGAGAAGUACAUCAGAAAAUUCCUCCACACACUCACGAAUGCUACCUGUCCGAGUGAGUCGCCUCAACCUCACCCUUGCCCCAUGAGCAGAAUUCUCAGGAUAAGAUUGCUCCUUCAACUCCCUCUUAAAAUCAUCACACGCGGCAAUGGUGCAGAAUCCCUUCUCAACAUCGGCAUAACUUCUCCUCCACCAAACCAUGACAACAUCAGCCAAGAUCAUGGAAGCACGGUCAACCCUUGAAGCAUCGUCCACAAUUUCCUUGUGCCCCUGUCUUCCCCAACAAGGUCACUCGGUCCAUGGCUUUGCUCACCCUUGCAAGCACUGGUCCAGCUCCUCUCGCAAGACUCAACUUUCUCCCUUCACCGUGGCAAGCUCCUCUUCCAAACUAUGAUGGUCAUCUCGUUACCACUAGCUAGCUCAUCAAUGGCAGCGUUCAAAGAUUCUCAACGCACUAUACAACAAGAUCCUGAGCCGUGAGCGGCUGAGAUCACUCAUCAUCUCACCCGGGUGCUACCGGCCCGUAUGUGAAAUGCUAUUUCAAGUGCGGGCUUGGUCACUUUCUUAUUUGCCAGGCGUGGAAAUCCAUUAUAUAAUGGAGUGGAAUCAAUAAAAAGAUGUGUGGAAGCAAUACAACAAGACAACUACCACCCUUUUUCCCUCCACUACGCACUACACAACAAGAUCCUCAACGCGAGGGAAAACCAGUUUUAUGCUUUGCGAGGAUUCGCACACAACUCCUUCGUCUCUCUCUCGCGCUCUGUACUGAACUCCACAAUCAUACCUCGAAACUCUGCUUUGAUGCUUGCAAGUCGAAACAUGUAGCGCGUUUUGUUUUUCUGUACCUGAGCAGCUAAACAUAGAAACGUAGAGUUUUGUCUGUCUUGCUGCUGAAUGUCCAUCCGAGUUGCUGUGCAGUUGUGCCGUUUUGGAUUAAGGUAAUAUUAAAUUUUUUAUUCAUGAUGUAAAGCAUAGAAGAAUUCGGAGCUAGAUGGGUAAUUGUUAGGGGAGGGGCCGCUCAAGAAAAAGAAGGCAAAAGCCAGGCGAUAAUGUUGUGCACACUGAAGAUUUCCUUGGAGGAGUUGUACGUUGUGUACCAAAUGUAAAGGCCUGAUUAAGUUACUGGAGAUCACCUCAAGUUUCAGUGGAAUCUUGAUGAUGCAAUUGCGGAGUGCAUCCUUUUAAAGGAGGCUCUCUAUGGAUUUCAGUUUAUCCUGACUCAACUUGAUGGCAAGCAACUUCUGAUCAAACCAAAUCCAUGCCGAGUCAAGCACUCGGGAGCUUCAAUAGGUUUAUCUUGUGUUGAAUUUCAUUCUUCAUAAUGUUGUUCGCUUCAGUUUGUUUGAAUGCAGGUCGAUACAAGCAAUCAAUGGUGAGGGAAUGAAAGACAAGCUUUCCCCAGAUGAACAGUGCCAUACUCUAUAGAGGCCAUUUUCCUCGAGUUCAAGAAAGCACUUGUCUGACAUGGAUCUUGUUGAGUGUGAAGAGACAAUUUUGCAAUGAUGUCAAUAUGGCAGAGGAGGAGAAGAGGUGAAAACAGCAGCAGCAGUGAUACGAGGCAUAUGAUGAAGAUGAUGAGCCAUCAUCAGGUGUAUAAUGUGUUAAGCAGUAAGCGAAAAAAUGGCUUCUAAAUUGCUAGCUGCAUCUGCUAAUUACCUUCCUUUUACAUCGUCCUUUUGGAUUGACGUAUAGUCUACUGGUUAUGUUAUUAUAUCCUUAGUUCAUGGUUGUCCCAUGUGAGUCUAUCAUUGUCAAUGGUAAGUAUGUAGCCGUAGUUGUAUGGAAUAAUUUCUUGUAUUUUAGAGUGUCUCAAGUGAUUUUCUCUGUCAUCUUCAUUUGCCAUUAAUAUAGGUGCAGUCCUAAUGAAGUGUUUUCUUUUCUGUGUAUUGGCAAUGGGCUUGAAUUUGUCGCAGCCUAAUGAGAUGCUUUAAACUCAUUGUUA
Molecule: long non-coding RNA, 2993 nt
Organism: Manihot esculenta (cassava)
Lineage: Eukaryota; Viridiplantae; Streptophyta; Magnoliopsida; Malpighiales; Euphorbiaceae
Exons: 3
Source: RefSeq, a predicted model, not a curated record